CAAGUCGAACGAUUGUGAAGGGCUUGCUCUUCACGAAAGUGGCGCACGGGUGCGUAACGCGUAUGCAACCUACCUUAAUCAGGGGGAUAGCCCGAAGAAAUUCGGAUUAACACCGCAUAAAAUCACAGUACAGCAUUGUACAAUGAUCAAAUAUUUAUAGGAUUAAGAUGGGCAUGCGUGUCAUUAGUUAGUUGGCGAGGUAACGGCUCACCAAGACCACGAUGACUAGGGGAUCUGAGAGGAUGACCCCCCACACUGGUACUGAGACACGGACCAGACUCCUACGGGAGGCAGCAGUAAGGAAUAUUGGUCAAUGGAGGCAACUCUGAACCAGCCAUGCCGCGUGCAGGAAGACAGCCCUCUGGGUCGUAAACUGCUUUUAUUCGGGAAUAAACCUACUUACGUGUAAGUAGCUGAAUGUACCGAAGGAAUAAGGAUCGGCUAACUCCGUGCCAGCAGCCGCGGUAAUACGGAGGAUCCAAGCGUUAUCCGGAUUUAUUGGGUUUAAAGGGUGCGUAGGCGGCUUAUUAAGUCAGGGGUGAAAGACGGUGGCUCAACCAUCGCAGUGCCCUUGAUACUGAUGAGCUUGAAUACACUAGAGGUAGGCGGAAUGUGACAAGUAGCGGUGAAAUGCAUAGAUAUGUCACAGAACACCGAUUGCGAAGGCAGCUUACUAUGGUGUCAUUGACGCUGAGGCACGAAAGCGUGGGGAUCAAACAGGAUUAGAUACCCUGGUAGUCCACGCCCUAAACGAUGAAUACUCGCUGUUAGCGAUACACAGUUAGCGGCUAAGCGAAAGCGUUAAGUAUUCCACCUGGGGAGUACGCCCGCAAGGGUGAAACUCAA
This 846-nucleotide ribosomal RNA is filed under the name uncultured Pedobacter sp. Its description in RNAcentral is "bacterial SSU rRNA". It matches the Rfam family "Bacterial small subunit ribosomal RNA", at positions 58 to 904 of the family's 1533-position model. Lineage: Bacteria; Pseudomonadati; Bacteroidota; Sphingobacteriia; Sphingobacteriales; Sphingobacteriaceae. The record is from RNAcentral.